This 305-nucleotide signal recognition particle RNA is filed under the name Oncorhynchus kisutch (coho salmon). RNAcentral describes it as "Metazoan signal recognition particle RNA (ENSOKIG00005022625.1)". It matches the Rfam family "Metazoan signal recognition particle RNA". Rfam says of the family: The signal recognition particle (SRP) is a universally conserved ribonucleoprotein. It is involved in the co-translational targeting of proteins to membranes. The record is from Rfam by way of RNAcentral. Lineage: Eukaryota; Metazoa; Chordata; Actinopteri; Salmoniformes; Salmonidae.
GCCGGGUGCGGAUGGCAUGUGCCUGUAAUCCAAGUCACUGGGAGGCUGAGGUUGGUGGUGGAUCAAGUGAGCUGAGGAGCUCUGGGCUGCAGCACACUAUGUGGACACGGGUUGCCACGCUAAGUUGGUAUCGAUAUUGGUGUUCCUGGGGGAUCCGGGACCACCAGGUUGUCUAAGGAGGGGGUGAACCGGGCCAGGUCGGAAACGAAUCAGGUCAAAUCCCCCGUGCUGUCCAGUAGUGGGGAUAAUACCUGUGAGUAGAUGCUGCAGUGCAGCCUUGGCGAAACAUCGAGACUUUAUCUUUC